Sturnus vulgaris (Common starling) is the source of this 1022-nucleotide non-coding RNA. The record is from RefSeq and is a predicted model, not a curated record. NCBI's taxonomy places the organism in Eukaryota, Metazoa, Chordata, Aves, Passeriformes, Sturnidae.
AAACAAGCAAAACUGGGAUUCAUCCUGUCCUGCUGUGGAGUUUUCCUACUGGUGAUGCUUGGGUGCCCUUGGGGUGUUUGAAAGGAGAGGCUGGAAGGUGCCAUGGAGCCUUGCAGAUGCUCCAUACCUAAUUCUGAGGGGCUGCAUGGGCUUGGGAGUGGAAGCUGUAUGUACCUUCUGAGCUUCCAGACUGGUGGCUUGAUCACUUGGACCAAAGGACAGCUAAGCUGCAACAGUCAAGACUCAUCAAAGGCCGACUGGGUGGUGAGAUUUUCACAUUCUUACCUUCCUCCUUCUCUCCCUCCCUCCUUUUUCUCUCUCUUUUCUCUUAUACGUGUCCUUGGGUGAUAUUUUUGUAGUUUCAUGUUGUUGGAAAUGAUGUAACUUUUAAAAUUUUUGAAGUAACUUUAGUCAUGUAUGCCUUUGCCAAAGGGGAAAGAGGGGAUGGCGGGGGAGGGUGGAAUUAAGAUUUCUCUUCAAAAGACUAUUCACCCAGGGUUUGAACUUCACUAGGUGAGGCCUGAGGGGCUUCAACAACAAAAAUCAACAUCUACAGGUUGGGAGUAGCAAGAAGAUAGAGAUAAAUGGACAUUAACAAAUCUGCCCUUGUUAGGCUGGCGUCAUCUGGUCUGGAGAAAGAUAGAUUGAUAAGAGAACCAAAGAAUGAGGACCAAAUUAGCAUCAAAGAUGAAUCCAGUAGGAGAAGGAGUACUGAGAACUGUAUAAUGUAGAACCAAUGAAUGAGAAUUUCUUUGGGUUUUAAAUGUAUAAAUGUGUGAGAAGUCUGGCAAAGAACUAGGUGAGCUGGAAAGAUUUCUACUGCACAUCCUGUCUGGAAUAAAGUAAUGGCUGAUUCUGUAACACUUGGAAGAUGGUAUUGGAGAGUUUCUUUUAUUCCUGCAGCUUUGGUGACAAUUUUGCAGUACUUUCAUACUGUUAUAUUACUAUAGAUAAUCAAAACAGCUAGGUACCUGCUUUCCUUUGCAACCAACUUGUUCAUAAAUAAAACCUAUGUACUUGUA